Pangasianodon hypophthalmus (striped catfish) is the source of this 823-nucleotide long non-coding RNA. RefSeq lists it as uncharacterized. The record is from RefSeq and is a predicted model, not a curated record. NCBI's taxonomy places the organism in Eukaryota, Metazoa, Chordata, Actinopteri, Siluriformes, Pangasiidae. The transcript is spliced from 3 exons.
AAGUCCCUCUCUUUCUCCCUCCGCCCCCCCUACGCUUUCUCUACAAUGGUACAGUCCGCUCUCUGAAGUUUUAUGUAGCGCGAGCAGCUUAGCGCGUUCCUGAAUCCGGGUUUGGGUUCCUUGUAGCCUGUGAGCGUUUACCUCAGACGCGUGAAACAGUUUGUCAGUCGGUUCGUGUUAAAGUUUACUUCAGUAUCAGAAACCGACUUUGUUUGAUGGAAGGUCAAGAAAUCUGGCACCUACUAGACUCCACUAUCCAUUCCUCUGUCCAUCCUCUAUCCAUUCCUCUAUCCAUCCUCCAUCCAUCUGGAAGGGGGUGUGGAGUCUCUCCACACUGCAGAUGUGUUUGAGAUGGAAAUGGCGGGAAGAAGGCGAGCUCGUGCCGAUGAGAAGUGACGGGAAAGAGCAUGUGAUGAUAAACAAAUAAACAAUUAAAAAAAAGAAAAAACAAACAAAAAGGAAUAAAAUCAUGCGGUCACAUGCCGUCGCUUGUUUUUACUCACGGUUAUUUCCGUUCUAAUCUCGAGCUUUAAUCUCUGAACGCGGAACUGAAACACGUGAGACCCCCGGUCUUGCGUCACGUGCGCGAUCCGGUGCACCGCGCGCGGAGGCUGUGACGCAAAGUUGCACCUACUUUCUUUCUUUGUUUUUCUUUCUUUCUUUUCCCCCUUUCUUUCUCGUGUGCGCUCACAGGCGUUGGUGGGGUGUUAAUUUCAUCCAGAGCGAAAGUGAUGAUGCUCAGGUCUAAACUUGCAGAGCAACCUGAAGAGCUCGCGCGCGUUCCAGAUAAUCACGGACACCGAGAAGCUCGCGCGGAGGUGUU